UGGGGAAUCUUGCGCAAUGCGCGAAAGCGUGACGCAGCAACGCCGCGUGGGGGAAGAAGGCCUUCGGGUUGUAAACCCCUUUCAGGAGGGACGAAGGUGCGGCGGCGAACAGCCGUCCGUACUGACGGUACCUCCAGAAGAAGCCCCGGCUAACUACGUGCCAGCAGCCGCGGUAAUACGUAGGGGGCAAGCGUUGUCCGGAAUCAUUGGGCGUAAAGCGCGCGUAGGCGGCCCGGUAAGUCCGCUGUAAAAGUCCAGGGCUCAACCCUGGAAAGCCGGUGGAUACUGUCGGGCUAGAGUCCGGAAGAGGCGAGUGGAAUUCCUGGUGUAGCGGUGGAAUGCGCAGAUAUCAGGAGGAACACCGAUGGCGAAGGCAGCUCGCUGGGACGGUACUGACGCUGAGGCGCGAAAGCGUGGGGAGCGAAC
Molecule: ribosomal RNA, 426 nt
Filed under: uncultured bacterium
Lineage: Bacteria
Description: bacterial SSU rRNA
Rfam family: Bacterial small subunit ribosomal RNA
Source: RNAcentral